ACACCAGAGCACCAACUUCUCUCACUUAAACCUUAUGACAACCUUAAGAAGUAGGCAGCAUGAUCCCCUUCUUGGAAAUGCAGAAAGAGAGAAUGGGGGAGAUUGAGAGGCUUGCAGAAUGUGACAUCAUUAGGGAGAACAGUGGUUGAGGUCCAGCAGCUCCUGCAGAUGGGUGGUGGUGGAAGGAGGAGAGAAUGGGCCACAGGCAGGCCAAGGGCAAGCUUAGCAGCACUCAACAUCCUCCAUGAACUCAACAGAAGUCAAGAAUGCAGGCAGCUCAUGAUGAAGACCUGCAGCGGCCCAGGUUUACCAAGCUCAUUCACAAUUGCAGUUGGAGAAUUCGUCUUUGGUCAUUUUCUACUUUGGAAAUACGGUACAACUGGUCAGGGAGAACCAAUGGCAGACAUGUGCUAUAUCCCAACACACCUUGACUCUUGCUCUCACCGGAAGCUCAGCUUAGGGAAAGGAGAUCUUAAUAGGAGACAGAAGACCCGGACGCUGGUUUUGAUUGUGCCCUUCUCCAGCUGUGUGGCCUUGAGCAGCUGGUAUGUGGCAACGACCUGACUUCAACCAGGAAGACAAGGUUGAUGACCUAAGGAAUAGCACUGUAGCAAAUGGAAGGAUCCCUGAGUGACUGUGUGGAGCAGAGCCCUCCUACCAGCCUGGACUAGCCAACAUAAGAUUAAGAUAUUUUUUACAUAAAGCAUACUGCAUGGGUGUCCUACUGGUGAUGGAAAAAGAAAUGAAAGCAUCUCUCAAAAGGGUCAAACCAAGGCCAGGUUUUAUUUGGUGUUUGAGAAAACCUGGAUUAUUUGGGUCAGGAGAAAAUUUUGGACUUCCUGCUAAUCACAGGAUUUCAACAGCAAGCGUCUUCAAAUCAUGUGUGACAUCCCCUGGCUGAUAAGAGCCUUCCCACCUCAUCUCAAGGAAGGCAACACCUUUCAUAACUACUAGAAUGACUACACUUGCCUCACUAAAUUGUAGUUGUUGAACCACAAACUUGAUUCCUACUUCUGUAAAAAUAAAUCAGAAUUAAAAUGAUUAAGAUAUGGAAUUGAGCCUCCAUGAGGUUUCAGCAGGCAUCCAUAACCUACAGGGUUAUGACAGUCAUAUUUUCUGAAUCCCAAAUCAGGACAUGGGACCAUGGAAAUAGAGAAGACCAUCAAGCAGAACGUUUGACUUCAGUUCUGUCGUGAAGAUUCUGGGUUUUCAAUCCUUCUAACUACAGUACUAGAUGACAAAGAUGAUUUAUUGCACAUUAAGCACUCAUGAGUGCUCUAUUAACCUCAUUCCUUGGAAUGAUUGUUUUAAAACAACUUUCCAUUUUUGCUAUUAAAAUACCUACUACUUGGGAGACUGAGGCAGGAGAAUCACUUGAACCCGGGAGGUGGAGGCUGCAGUGAGCCGAGACUGCACCACUGCACUCCAGACUGGGCAACAGAGUGAGACUCUGUCUCAAAAAAAAAAAAAGUAAUGCAUAUUAAUUGAAGAAAAUAUAGACAUGGAAAGGAAAGAAAAUCAUCCAUCCAUAAUUUCACAACCCAGAGAUAACAACCACUAACAGCUUAAUAAAUAGCAUUUCAACUUU
This 1588-nucleotide long non-coding RNA is filed under the name Homo sapiens (human). RNAcentral's name for it is "uncharacterized LOC105379301, transcript variant 1 (LOC105379301)". Lineage: Eukaryota; Metazoa; Chordata; Mammalia; Primates; Hominidae. The record is from RNAcentral.